This 315-nucleotide unclassified non-coding RNA is filed under the name uncultured fungus. RNAcentral describes it as "partial contains small subunit ribosomal RNA, internal transcribed spacer 1, and 5.8S ribosomal RNA". The stretch from base 1 to 73 matches the Rfam family "Eukaryotic small subunit ribosomal RNA", at positions 1759 to 1831 of the family's 1831-position model. Lineage: Eukaryota; Fungi. The record is from RNAcentral.
GCAAACUUGGUCAUUUAGAGGAAGUAAAAGUCGUAACAAGGUUUCCGUAGGUGAACCUGCGGAAGGAUCAUUAACCUUUCAAAAAACAGGGUGCGUCGCGGCCCCCCUCCGGGGGCGGUUUGGGGUCCUCCCCUUCACGCGCGCACGACUGCAUCCUUACUUUACGAGCACCUUCUGUUCUCCCUCGGCGGGGCAACCUGCCGUUGGAACCGAAUAAACCCUUUUUUGCAUCCAGCAUUACCCGUUCCGAAACAAACAAUCGUUACAACUUUCAACAAUGGAUCUCUUGGCUCUGGCAUCGAUGAAGAACGCAGC